ACUAUUUUGGCAGAAAAGUGCUUUGAAUUUAGAUUUCAAUAAUGUAAUAUUUAUUACAAUUAGUA
RNAcentral lists this transfer RNA (65 nucleotides) under Pseudophyllus titan. Its description in RNAcentral is "tRNA-Leu". Lineage: Eukaryota; Metazoa; Arthropoda; Insecta; Orthoptera; Tettigoniidae. The record is from RNAcentral.